GAUGAACGCUGGCGGCGUGCCUAAUACAUGCAAGUCGAGCGAACAGAUGAGGAGCUUGCUCCUCUGACGUUAGCGGCGGACGGGUGAGUAACACGUGGAUAACCUACCUAUAAGACUGGGAUAACUUCGGGAAACCGGAGCUAAUACCGGAUAAUAUAUUGAACCGCAUGGUUCAAUAGUGAAAGACGGUUUUGCUGUCACUUAUAGAUGGAUCCGCGCCGCAUUAGCUAGUUGGUAAGGUAACGGCUUACCAAGGCAACGAUGCGUAGCCGACCUGAGAGGGUGAUCGGCCACACUGGAACUGAGACACGGUCCAGACUCCGACGGGAGGCAGCAGGAGGGAAUCUUCCGCAAUGGGCGAAAGCCUGACGGAGCAACGCCGCGUGAGUGAUGAAGGUCUUCGGAUCGUAAAACGCUGUUAUUAGGGAAGAACAAAUGUGUAAGUAACGAUGCACGUCUUGACGGUACCUAAUCGGAAAGCCACGGCUAACUACGU
Molecule: ribosomal RNA, 496 nt
Filed under: uncultured bacterium
Lineage: Bacteria
Description: partial 16S ribosomal RNA
Rfam family: Bacterial small subunit ribosomal RNA
Source: RNAcentral